GUGCCGUGAGGUGUUGGGUUAAGUCCCGCAACGAGCGCAACCCCCAUCGCAUGUUGCCAGCGGGUUAUGCCGGGAACUCAUGCGAGACUGCCGGAGAAACUCCGGAGGAAGGAGGGGAUGACGUCAAGUCCGCAUGGCCCUUAAGCCUGGGGCUGCAAACGCGCUACAAUGCGCGGUACAGCGGGUAGCAAACUCGCAAGAGGGAGCCAAUCCCGAAAAGCCGCGCCCAGUUCGGAUCGGGGUCUGCAACCCGACCCCGUGAAGUUGGAGUCGCUAGUAAUGGCAGAUCAGCAUGCUGCCGUGAAUACGUUCUCGGGCCU
This 320-nucleotide ribosomal RNA is filed under the name uncultured bacterium. Its description in RNAcentral is "bacterial SSU rRNA". It matches the Rfam family "Bacterial small subunit ribosomal RNA", at positions 1062 to 1381 of the family's 1533-position model. The record is from RNAcentral.